This 253-nucleotide ribosomal RNA is filed under the name uncultured prokaryote. RNAcentral describes it as "partial 16S ribosomal RNA". It matches the Rfam family "Bacterial small subunit ribosomal RNA", at positions 524 to 776 of the family's 1533-position model. The record is from RNAcentral.
UACGGAGGGGGCGAGCGUUGUCCGAAGUUACUGGGCGUAAAGCGCGCGUAGGCGGGUUGGUAAGUCCGCUGUGAAAGCCCGGAGCUUAACUCCGGAGGGUCGGUGGAUACUGCCAGUCUUGAAGGUGCUAGGGGGAGAUGGAAUUACCGGUGUAGCGGUGAAAUGCGUAGAGACCCGGAGGAACACCAGUGGCGAAGGCGGCUUCCUGGUCUGCAACUGACGCUGUGGCGCGAAAGCUAGGGGAGCGAACGGG